GUAGGUGGUUUGUCGCGUUGUUCGUGAAAUCUCACGGCUUAACUGUGAGCGUGCGGGCGAUACGGGCAGACUUGAGUACUGCAGGGGAGACUGGAAUUCCUGGUGUAGCGGUGGAAUGCGCAGAUAUCAGGAGGAACACCGGUGGCGAAGGCGGGUCUCUGGGCAGUAACUGACGCUGAGGAGCGAAAGCGUGGGGAGCGAACAGGAUUAGAUACCCUGGCAGUCCACGCCGUAAACGGUGGGUACUAGGUGUGGGUUUCCUUCCUUGGGAUCCGUGCCGUAGCUAACGCAUUAAGUACCCCGCCUGGGGAGUACGGCCGCAAGGCUAAAACUCAAAGAAAUUGACGGGGGCCCGCACAAGCGGCGGAGCAUGUGGAUUAAUUCGAUGCAACGCGAAGAACCUUACCUGGGUUUGACAUGCACAGGACGCCGGCAGAGAUGUCGGUUCCCUUGUGGCCUGUGUGCAGGUGGUGCAUGGCUGUCGUCAGCUCGUGUCGUGAGAUGUUGGGUUAAGUCCCGCAACGAGCGCAAGCCUUGUCUCAUGUUGCCAGCGGGUAAUGCCGGGGACUCGUGAGAGACUGCCGGGGUCAACUCGGAGGAAGGUGGGGAUGACGUCAGGUCAUCAUGCCCCUGAUGUCCAGGGCUUCACACAUGCUACAAUGGCCGGUACAAAGGGCUGCGAUGCCGCGAGGUUAAGCGAAUCCUUUUAAAGCCGGUCUCAGUUCGGAUCGGGGUCUGCAACUCGACCCCGUGAAGUCGGAGUCGCUAGUAAUCGCAGAUCAGC
Molecule: ribosomal RNA, 784 nt
Filed under: uncultured bacterium
Lineage: Bacteria
Description: bacterial SSU rRNA
Rfam family: Bacterial small subunit ribosomal RNA
Source: RNAcentral